This 445-nucleotide ribosomal RNA is filed under the name uncultured bacterium. RNAcentral's name for it is "partial 16S ribosomal RNA". It matches the Rfam family "Bacterial small subunit ribosomal RNA", at positions 354 to 796 of the family's 1533-position model. The record is from RNAcentral.
GUGAGGAAUAUUGCGCAAUGGAGGCAACUCUGACGCAGCCAUGCCGCGUGCAGGAAGAAGGCGCUACGCGUUGUAAACUGCUUUUAACCGGGAAGAAACCCCAGGACGUGUCCUGGGUUGACGGUACCAGAGGAAUAAGCACCGGCUAACUCCGUGCCAGCAGCCGCGGUAAUACGGAGGGUGCAAGCGUUAUCCGGAUUCACUGGGUUUAAAGGGUGCGUAGGCGGGUUGAUAAGUCAGUGGUGAAAUCCUGCAGCUUAACUGUAGACUUGCCAUUGAUACUGGCGCUCUUGAGUGCGCUUGAAGUGGGCGGAAUGUGCCGUGUAGCGGUGAAAUGCUUAGAUAUGGCACAGAACACCAAUUGCGAAGGCAGCUCACUAAGGCGAUACUGACGCUGAGGCACGAAAGCGUGGGGAUCGAACAGGAUUAGAUACCCUUGUAGUCC